Molecule: non-coding RNA, 44 nt
Organism: Ailuropoda melanoleuca (giant panda)
Lineage: Eukaryota; Metazoa; Chordata; Mammalia; Carnivora; Ursidae
Source: Rfam
UCACAGGUUCUUAGAACCACUACAAAUUAAAAAAAGAAGUAUAU